This 1158-nucleotide ribosomal RNA is filed under the name uncultured bacterium. RNAcentral describes it as "bacterial SSU rRNA". It matches the Rfam family "Bacterial small subunit ribosomal RNA", at positions 337 to 1502 of the family's 1533-position model. The record is from RNAcentral.
UCCUACGGGAGGCAGCAGUGAGGAAUAUUGGUCAAUGGCCGGAAGGCUGAACCAGCCAAGUAGCGUGCAGGAUGACUGCCUUAUGGGUUGUAAACUGCUUUUUUACGGGAAUAAUUAUGAUCACGUGUGAUUAUUUGCAUGUACCGUAAGAAUAAGGAUCGGCUAACUCCGUGCCAGCAGCCGCGGUAAUACGGAGGAUCCUAGUGUUAUCCGGAUUUAUUGGGUUUAAAGGGAGCGUAGGCGGGAGGUCAAGUCAGCUGUGAAAUGUAUCUGCUUAACGGGUACACUGCAGUUGAAACUGGUUUUCUUGAGUGCGUAAGAGGCAGGCGGAAUUCGUUGUGUAGCGGUGAAAUGCUUAGAUAUGACGAGGAACUCCUAUUGCGAAGGCAGCUUGCUGGGUCGUUACUGACGCUGAUGCUCGAAGGUGCGGGGAUCAAACAGGAUUAGAUACCCUGGUAGUCCGCACAGUAAACUAUGGAUACUCUCUGCCGGCGAUAUAUUGUCGGUGGCCAAGCGAAAGCGUUAAGUAUCCCACCUGGGGAGUACGUUCGCAAGAAUGAAACUCAAAGGAAUUGACGGGGGCCCGCACAAGCGGAGGAACAUGUGGUUUAAUUCGAUGAUACGCGAGGAACCUUACCCGGGUUUGAAUUGCUGAUGGCGAUAAUUGGAGACAGUUAUUUCCCUUUUAGGGCGUCAGUGAGGGUGCUGCAUGGUUGUCGUCAGCUCGUGCCGUGAGGUGUCGGCUUAAGUGCCAUAACGAGCGCAACCCUUGCCGUUAGUUGCCAUCGGGUCAUGCCGGGCACUCUAUUGGGACUGCCAUCGUAAGAUGUGAGGAAGGUGGGGAUGACGUCAAAUCAGCACGGCCCUUAUGUCCGGGGCGACACACGUGUUACAAUGGGGGGUACAGUGGGAAGCUACCUGGCGACAGGUUGCGGAUCCCCAAAUCCUUUCUCAGUUCGGAUCGGAGUCUGUAACUCGACUCCGUGAAGUUGGAUUCGCUAGUAAUCGCGCAUCAGCUACGGCGCGGUGAAUACGUUCCCGGGCCUUGUACACACCGCCCGUCAAGCCAUGGAAGUUUGGGGUGCCUGAAGUCUGUAACCGUAAGGAGCGGCCUAGGGCAAAACAGAUGACUGGGGCUAAGUCGUAACAAGGUAACCA